RNAcentral lists this ribosomal RNA (324 nucleotides) under uncultured eukaryote. Its description in RNAcentral is "partial 18S ribosomal RNA". It matches the Rfam family "Eukaryotic small subunit ribosomal RNA", at positions 1470 to 1796 of the family's 1831-position model. The record is from RNAcentral.
CCCUUAGAUGUUCUGGGCCGCACGCGCGCUACACUGAUGCAUUCAACGAGUUUCUUCCUGGUCCGAGAGGAAUGGGUAACCUUUUGAAAGUGCAUCGUGAUAGGGAUAGACUAUUGCAAUUAUUGGUCUUCAACGAGGAAGUCCUAGUAGACGUAGUUCAUCAGACUGCAUCGAUUACGUCCCUGCCCUUUGUACACACCGCCCGUCGCUCCUACCGAUUGAAUGCUCAGGUGAGCCAUUCGGACUUUCAUCAUGCUGGUUUCCAGUUUUGAUGAAGGAAAGUCUUGCGAACCUUAUCAUUUAGAGGAAGGAGAAGUCGUAACA